This 1318-nucleotide long non-coding RNA is filed under the name Anser cygnoides (Swan goose). RNAcentral's name for it is "lncRNA (ENSACDG00005002589.1)". Lineage: Eukaryota; Metazoa; Chordata; Aves; Anseriformes; Anatidae. The record is from RNAcentral.
CUGGAUCAAGUAAAUCUACCAUAUGCUUGUCUAAUCUGUUCUUAAAAACUAUGUAGAAUGGCUCAUGACACUCUUGGAUAUCUUGCUGAAGUGUCUCAUUACUCUUCAUUAGAACAAUUUUACUCUAAAUCUUAAGUCUUUGCUGAUUUCUUCUUGUCCUUCCCCCUUUUUUCUGUGAAGAACAAAUACCUUCUUUUUUAUAAUUUUUUUAAGUAAUGGAAGACAGUUAUGUUUUCUAAUAGCCAGUCCAUAUUUUAUUUUAUUUUAUUUUAUUUUAUUUUAUUUUAUUUUAUUUUAUUUUGUUUUGUUUUGUUUUGUUUUGUUUUAUUAAACUAAAUAAAUAUUCUUUCACUAUUUCUCCUAAGUCAUGUUUUGUAAAUCUCUUUGCAACUCUUCGUUUUCUCCAGUUCUCUUCUGCGGACUCCGCAACUUUCUAGCAUCAUUCUUAAGAGGAAGGCAACCAAAAUGAGAUGAAUUCACCAUCUAGGGGUACUACCAGUAAACAGGACAAAGACAGCUACCUCUCUUGUCCUACCUGGGACCUCCUAGUACACAUCCUAAAAUGAGAUCUGUCUUUGCAACAGCACUGUUUUAUAAAUUUAUAGUAUGCCUCUGAUCUUUUUAUGUCCUUAAUAUAUUUUCUGCCUGGCUGAUUUUUCCCCACUGGGAAUGAUGCUUUCAGAUGUGUAGUGGCUGUUAUCUUUCUUGAGUACAUUCUGCUAGUCUUUUUGAAUUCAUCUUGUUGAACAAUCUUGUUAAGACUGUCCAGCUAAAAUUGUUUGGUAGCUAUGCUUUGUAAAAGUAAGAGUUAUGAUUUAUUAAUCCUUUGGUGAUAGUAAGAAAAUCUUUUCAUCUGAGAAGCUGAACAAACUCAGCCUGAGUUUUUGAAAAUCCGUCAUAGCUUCUUACUACAAUUCAACUCAUAGAUUGUCAUUAUUUUGUUUCUUUCCAUAAUCUGAUAGAUCGAGAUUCUACAUAAGGACUCCAGGUUUGCUGUAAUGGAAACACUGGGUGCCGGUGCUGGCUGGGAGGAAAUAUCGUAGCAUAGUUUCACCAGUUCUGUUUCUUAAGGUUCCUUCAGGUGUGCUCUCCACUGUCACCUGCAAAGGUCAUUCUAAAGGGUGAUCGUUCUUCAUGGAUGCUCUGGGCAGGAUUUCUAUCUGCCCACCAGAUCUUCCCACUGAGGUGGUUAGGUAGCUAAAAUACAUCAUAGCAGCAUCUUCCUCCUCAUGUACUGAGAUCUGGGUAGAUUUGAUAUUCACUGGUAUAAAAGGGCAUGUUCUUUCCAUGCCUACAUGGUAGACUAUCUUCAAGGCAG